GAUGAACGCUGGCGGCGUGCUUAACACAUGCAAGUCGAACGAAGCAACUUAUCACGAUCCCUUCGGGGUGACGAUUUGUUGACUGAGUGGCGGACGGGUGAGUAACGCGUGGGUAACCUACCUUGUACAGGGGGACAACAGUUGGAAACGACUGCUAAUACCGCAUAAGCGCACAGCUUCGCAUGAAGCAGUGUGAAAAGUUUUUCGGUACAAGAUGGACCCGCGUCUGAUUAGCUAGUUGGUGAGGUAACGGCCCACCAAGGCGACGAUCAGUAGCCGACCUGAGAGGGUGACCGGCCACAUUGGGACUGAGACACGGCCCAAACUCCUACGGGAGGCAGCAGUGGGGAAUAUUGCACAAUGGGCGAAAGCCUGAUGCAGCGACGCCGCGUGAGCGAAGAAGUAUUUCGGUAUGUAAAGCUCUAUCAGCAGGGAAGAUAAUGACGUA
This 448-nucleotide ribosomal RNA is filed under the name bacterium AE2024. Its description in RNAcentral is "bacterial SSU rRNA". It matches the Rfam family "Bacterial small subunit ribosomal RNA", at positions 28 to 458 of the family's 1533-position model. The record is from RNAcentral.